AUUGAACGCUGGCGGAAUGCUUUACACAUGCAAGUCGAACGGCAGCACGGACUUCGGUCUGGUGGCGAGUGGCGAACGGGUGAGUAAUGUAUCGGAACGUGCCCAGUCGUGGGGGAUAACGUAGUGAAAAUUACGCUAAUACCGCAUACGAUCUAUGGAUGAAAGCGGGGGAUCGCAAGCCCUCGCGCGAUCGGAGCGGCCGAUAUCAGAUUAGGUAGUUGGGGGGGUAAAGGCCCACCAAGCCAACGAUCUGUAGCUGGUCUGAGAGGACGACCAGCCACACUGGAACUGAGACACGGUCCAGACUCCUACGGGAGGCAGCAGUGGGGAAUUUUGGACAAUGGGCGAAAGCCUGAUCCAGCCAUUCCGCGUGCAGGAUGAAGGCCCUCGGGUUGUAAACUGCUUUUGUACAGAACGAAAAGGUUUCUACUAAUACUAGGAGCUCAUGACGGUACUGUAAGAAUAAGCACCGGCUAACUACGUGCCAGCCGCCGCGGUAA
This 500-nucleotide ribosomal RNA is filed under the name uncultured bacterium. RNAcentral's name for it is "partial 16S ribosomal RNA". It matches the Rfam family "Bacterial small subunit ribosomal RNA", at positions 30 to 523 of the family's 1533-position model. The record is from RNAcentral.